RNAcentral lists this long non-coding RNA (203 nucleotides) under Elaeis guineensis (African oil palm). Its description in RNAcentral is "long non-coding RNA (EGUI_LNC053840)". The record is from RNAcentral. Lineage: Eukaryota; Viridiplantae; Streptophyta; Magnoliopsida; Arecales; Arecaceae.
GGGGCGGUGGUCUAGAAAUUACUUCAACUAUAGCUUGAUCUACCUCAAUCUUUGUCUUGAGUAUGAUAUGUCUUGGCAUAAUCCCUUCCUAAUAUAAAGUCUGAUAUUUUUUUUUAAACUAACAUUAAAUCAGUCUCCAUACAUCAUUUUAGUGCUGCAGAUAGAUUUGGAGACGGUCCUCGAAAGUAGUGUCGAACACAGAG